Molecule: long non-coding RNA, 1844 nt
Filed under: Marmota monax (woodchuck)
Lineage: Eukaryota; Metazoa; Chordata; Mammalia; Rodentia; Sciuridae
Source: RNAcentral
UCUAAUGGAAGCAUAUAAAAUACUGUUGCUGUGUUCCAGGUGCUCCCCCCAAGGCUGUUGUAUGUGUCAACUCAUUGAAUCAUCUUGAGAUGUUCCAUGAGGUGGAUGUUAUUUUCAUCCCUGUGUUACAGAAACAAAAACUAAGCCCUGGAGAGUUAAGGUCCCAUGUGUACAACCCCACAGUCACUAAGCAGGAAAAUCAAGACCUGAGUUCAGGGCCUUUUAGGAGCCUCUGGAGUGAUGGGUGUCUCCCCAGGAGUAGUAAAAGGGUCUCAUGAUGGCAAAAAGAAUCACAGGCCACCACCUUCCCUGGCCCAGAAAGCCACUCAGUUUUCAAAGGCGUGACUCUGGAGGUACUCCCCAGAAGGUCACUCUGUGCUCGGGACACACUCCUUUCUUAAAACUGGCCCUAAACGUGAAUGGCAUCUGACCCUCUUCCAAGCCCUGGAGUGGCUUUGGAAGGAGUUCACCACCCCCAGGAGAGCUGCCUUCCACCCCAGUGAAUGACAGUCCCUCCUCUGACGCCUUGUCUCUGCUAUGUGUCAUCCUUCCAGGGAAGUCCAGCAGAACCUCUGGGCUGAUAAAGCGGACACUCUGUCUUUGAAGAACGAAGAGAACUUCUGGGCCACGGGCCACCUCGCCAGCGACUCCAAGUGGAACUGUGUAGCCCACGUGUGCCUGGAGGGCACGGGAACCCCAGCCACCCAGCGCACCUCCCAGAGGGCCGGUGGGAAUUGUCGAUAGUGCCAAAGUCCUACACUGCAUUUUCAAUGGGUCCCUGUACAUAGUUUGCUCCGCUGCCCAGGCCCCCACCUCUUGCUAUACUGGAACUGAUUUGUACAAUGUGGGAACUUUGUUAUCUUUUUAAUGGAGGGCCACUUCCUUUCCCAGCACUUCCAUUGUAAGGCUUUUUUCCAGGAAGGGGGACUAACCGCAUUACUUUUCCCUUUUCUCUUUUUCUGUUUUUAUUUUUAUUUUAUUAACUGGGGGAGGGAGUAUUAGUAUUAGUGCCAUUAUAUCUACUGGAUUUUAGGUAGGGAGAAUUUAUCUUUAAAUAAUGGUAGUUUGAAACUUGGAAGAUUUCUUGGUGGGAAGGACUGAGGUUGGGUCUCUGUCUCAGCUCCAAGUGGGCUUCAGACGUCAGAUCUUGCAUAUCUAACCCAUUUCCAGUUCUUCCCGGCUGCCUCUGGUCCCUGCCUUGAGUCACACGCAGGCCUUUUGAACUGCCAGGAGGCGGGAGUCUGACUUCUCAACCCCUUGGCCUCGCUGAGAGACUGGAUAGCAGGUGGCUGUCCUCUUUAAGCACCUUUUUAAAUACCAGCAGAAAGGGCUCUCAUGAUGGUUAACAUCACCAUUACACUUACAAAAUUAAAAAAAAAAAAAAAUGAUCUUCCUCUCUAUAUGGUACACAGAUGAGAAGCUUUGGUUUUCAUUUCUCUUCUCAACUGCCUUUUUGGGUGUGGUGUUUGACAAGAUUUCAGCUUGAAGACUCACCAUGAAUUGAUUGUGUGUGUGUGUGUGUGUGUGUGUUGGGCCAAUUUUAGAUACCUUUGAGUGCACUUUGGUUUUGUUUUGGUUUUUUGUUUUUGUUUUUUGUUUUUUGUUAGUCCUAACUUUUAAAGGAAAACCAAGAGACAUAUCUGGUGUAAAUGUUGCAAUAUGAAUUAUGUUUGCAAUCCCUUUUCUGCUCUCCCACCCCCUCCCCAUUCAAGUACACUGCACAAAUAAAAUGCUAGGGAGUUUGAAUCAAAACCAGUUUUUCUAACUUGUUGCUCAUUUGUUGGAACUCAAUAAAGCAAAGACUAAACAUUUUUACAACCUUUUCCUCUGUUCCUCAUUCUUCA